UACGUAGGGGGCAAGCGUUGUCCGGAUUUAUUGGGCGUAAAGAGCGUGUAGGCGGCUUUACAGGUCCGUUGUGAAAACUCGAGGCUCAACCUCGAGACGCCGGUGGAAACCGUAAAGCUAGAGUCCGGAAGAGGAGAGUGGAAUUCCUGGUGUAGCGGUGAAAUGCGCAGAUAUCAGGAGGAACACCCGUGGCGAAAGCGGCUCUCUGGAACGGUACUGACGCUGAGACGCGAAAGCGUGGGGAGCGAACAGG
This 253-nucleotide ribosomal RNA is filed under the name uncultured bacterium. Its description in RNAcentral is "partial 16S ribosomal RNA". It matches the Rfam family "Bacterial small subunit ribosomal RNA", at positions 524 to 776 of the family's 1533-position model. The record is from RNAcentral.